AGAAUCAACGCUGGCGGCGUGCCUAACACAUGCAAGUCGAACGAGAAAGGGGAGCAAUCCCUGAGUAAAGUGGCGACCGGGUGAGUAACACGUGACUAACCUACCUUCGAGUGGGGGAUAACCUCGGGAAACCGAGGCUAAUACCGCAUAACAUCGUGAGAUCAAAGCAGUAAUGCGCUGGAAGAGGGGGUCGCGGCUGAUUAGCUAGUUGGCGGGUAAUGGCCCACCAAGGCGAAGAUCGGUAG
RNAcentral lists this ribosomal RNA (245 nucleotides) under uncultured bacterium. RNAcentral's name for it is "partial small subunit ribosomal RNA". It matches the Rfam family "Bacterial small subunit ribosomal RNA", at positions 26 to 286 of the family's 1533-position model. The record is from RNAcentral.